UUCUUUAGAUGGGGAUUUUAAGGUAUAGCGUAUUGCAUGGGGUACUCAGAGACGUACUCCUUUUUUUUAUCCUCUCAUCUUUCUCUUAUGAGGUGGAUUGAUUUCGGGGACGAAAUCUUUUGAAGUUGGGGAGAUUCUAACAUUACCGAUUUUUCCUACUUUCUAAUUUCUGAAUUUAUUUUAUUUUUCUGGAUUAUUUUAAUCCUUGCCUCGUUUUGCGUGUCACGCGGGCCCCGAGGGGCGUUAUCGGCAUUUCACAUGUGUAUGUGUAUUUAUAUACAUAAGGGUGGUAUUUAAUGGCAAGGUUGAUGAUAAAAAGAAGUUCAAAGGGCAUUUUCGUCAUUUUAGAGCCAUGGAAUAGCCUAGAGAAUUCUAAAGACAUGAGUGUGGCUUUAUUUUUUUGACCCAUUCUUUUCUUCUUUCAAUUUCCGGACCAUACCCACCCUACAAGCUCUCUUCCUCCAUUUUCUUCUUUCUCUCCCUAUCUCUCUCUUCCUUCUUUCUAAAAUUUGUUCAUGCUAGAGAUGAUUCAGUUUCGGCCAUAGUUGGCAAAUUGUAGAACAUUGCAAGGACUACAUCUUGGUACCGGUAUUGUAAGCUUUUUUGUGGGAUUUGAGUUUGGAGCUUGGAGCUAGAGCUUACUAAGGACUUGAUUGGUUGUUAUCUUGAGGCACUUAUCCCGAAAAUAAGCUAACUCAGCCAAAUAAGAGCUUAAUUGAAGCAAUUCUGGGAUUAAACAAAGAAAGGAGCAAAGUGGAGAAAGAAGGAAGCAAAUGAAGCCAAAGGUGGCAGGCAGCAAAGUUCAAUCGAUCCAAGUUCAAGGUUCGAUCGAUCGAACAAUGAUCAAUUUCAGCACUUCAAAAUAGAUCCAAGCCUUGACCCAAAAGCAUAAAGUUCCAAAAGUUCGAUCGAUCCAACACCAUCCUUCAAUCGAUCGAACACUUUUGUCCUUAUUCAAAUGAUUGAUCAUAUCCACAGCUGUAACACCCAUUAACCACUUUUGUCCUUUUCCCAUAAAUAUCUCUUAUAUAUAUCUCGAAUUUGUCAUUUUCCAAAAAGCUCAGCCAGUUGGAUUGAUCUAGCCUAAGUUCGAUCGAUCUCACUUACUUUCGAUUGAUCUAAGACCAAGGUUCGAUCGAUCGAACUUCCUCCAGUGCGAAAAAGUUAAAAUUCCAUCUCAUUGAAAGUUGUCCUUUAUCCAAUCAUUAGGGAAUAUUGUGUGCACAACCCCAGCUCAUUUUGGGUGUCAUUUUGACCUACCUAUAUAAGGAUAAGGAUUGCUUUUUACAAGGGAGAGUCAACAUUAUUUUUUAUAUCAUCUAUUGGAGAGCAAGCUUAGAGGAGGAGGAGGCUAGAGACACCAUAGGAGUUCUUCAUCAACAAGAAGCAGAUUUCAACCAUGGAGUUAGCCCUUGAGGGUUGGAGCAUCAUCACCAUGAGUGGCUAGACAUCCUCUUGGGGCUAGAGUUAGUCCCAAGCAUGCUUUCUAUAUCUUAAUCUUGUGUAUUUUUGAGGGAUUAGUGUUGUAAUUGAAGUUUUGACAUUUUGAUAUAUAUAGAUCUUGUUUAUUCAAUGA
This is a long non-coding RNA of Cornus florida, 1576 nucleotides long. RefSeq lists it as uncharacterized. The transcript is spliced from 2 exons. Lineage: Eukaryota; Viridiplantae; Streptophyta; Magnoliopsida; Cornales; Cornaceae. The record is from RefSeq and is a predicted model, not a curated record.